GAUGAACGCUGGCGGCGUGCCUAAUACAUGCAAGUCGAGCGAACGGACGAGAAGCUUGCUUCUCUGAUGUUAGCGGCGGACGGGUGAGUAACACGUGGAUAACCUACCUAUAAGACUGGGAUAACUUCGGGAAACCGGAGCUAAUACCGGAUGAUAUUUUGAACCGCAUGGUUCAAAAGUGAAAGACGGUCUUGCUGUCACUUAUAGAUGGAUCCGCGCUGCAUUAGCUAGUUGGUAAGGUAACGGCUUACCAAGGCAACGAUGCAUAGCCGACCUGAGAGGGUGAUCGGCCACACUGGAACUGAGACACGGUCCAGACUCCUACGGGAGGCAGCAGUAGGGAAUCUUCCGCAAUGGGCGAAGGCCUGACGGAGCAACGCCGCGUGAGUGAUGAAGGUCUUCGGAUCGUAAAACUCUGUUAUUAGGGAAGAACAUAUGUGUAAGUAACUGUGCACAUCUUGACGGUACCUAAUCAGAAGGCCACGGCUAACUACGUG
Molecule: ribosomal RNA, 497 nt
Filed under: uncultured bacterium
Lineage: Bacteria
Description: partial 16S ribosomal RNA
Rfam family: Bacterial small subunit ribosomal RNA
Source: RNAcentral